GGGAGAAUGAAUAUGGACAUCCACUGUCUAACAAAAACUAGAGAAACUUAACCAAGACAAAGAAGACAUCCUGUCGAUUUUCAUCUUGCCAUUCAUCUCAUCACAAAGAUGACCCAGAUGACAAACCCUUGGUAAGAAUCCAUGAGGAGACAAUACAGAAGAAGCCUUUACCCAUUUAUGAGUUGGCCUUAGAAAUUCUAAGGAAAGAAGGUUAUCCUCCUCCUUCUCCAGUAAAGUGUUCACCUUCUACACCACUUCCUGCCUUAUCAAUGGUUUCUCCUUACAUGAUGAUCUCACCAUCCUCUUAUGAAACGGACUUUCCACCUCUCUCUCAAUAGACAGACAAAACCUUUGGUGUCUCCCUAAGACCCUUUGUUCAACCUGCUAAGAUCACUCCUGAAGGACACCCUAGUCCUUUAACUCAAGCUGAAGAAGUUCUUAAUUGGCACACAAAAAAUGCCACCGCUCAAAACUAGACACUCCAAAGGCUUGAUUCUAAGAUUGAUCGAGUUCUGUCUCACUCACAUACCGUUGAAAAGAAGGUUGAUUCUUUCUCAAUGUAUGUUGAAAACAUAUACAAGGAUCUCCAGUCAAAGAUCUAUCAUCUUGAUAUGGAUAUC
Molecule: unclassified non-coding RNA, 620 nt
Filed under: Hevea brasiliensis (rubber tree)
Lineage: Eukaryota; Viridiplantae; Streptophyta; Magnoliopsida; Malpighiales; Euphorbiaceae
Source: RNAcentral